CCUACGGGGGGCAGCAGUGGGGAAUAUUGCACAAUGGGGGAAACCAUGAUGCAGCAACGUCGCGUGAGCGAUGAAGGCCUUCUGGUCGGAAAGCUCUGUUCUAAGUGAAGAAUACUGACGGUACCUUAGGAGUAAUCCCCGGCUAACUAGGGGCCAGCAGCCGCGGUAAUACGUAUGGGGCUAGCGUGAUCCGGAAUUACUGGGCGUAAAGGGUGGGUAGGCGGCACAUCAAGUCAGUGGUGAAAGGCUACGGCUCAACCGUAGUAAGCCUUUGAAACUGUAGGGCUUGAGUGCAGGAGAGGAGAAUGGAAUACCCAGUGUAGCGGUGAAAUGCGUAGAAAUUGGGAGGAACACCAGUUGCGAAUGCGGCUCUCUGGACUGUAACGGACGCUGAGGCACGAAAGCGUGGGGAGCGAACAGGAUUAGAUACGCUAGUCGUC
Molecule: ribosomal RNA, 440 nt
Filed under: uncultured bacterium
Lineage: Bacteria
Description: partial 16S ribosomal RNA
Rfam family: Bacterial small subunit ribosomal RNA
Source: RNAcentral